UUCAGUAGCUCAGUUGGUUAGAGCACCUGACUGUUAAUCAGGGGGUCGUUGGUUCAAGCCCAUCCUGAAGCG
RNAcentral lists this transfer RNA (72 nucleotides) under Alloprevotella sp. RNAcentral describes it as "tRNA-Asn(gtt)". It matches the Rfam family "tRNA". Rfam says of the family: Transfer RNA (tRNA) molecules are approximately 80 nucleotides in length. The record is from RNAcentral. Lineage: Bacteria; Pseudomonadati; Bacteroidota; Bacteroidia; Bacteroidales; Prevotellaceae. RNAcentral also lists the same sequence under 5 other names.